AAGUCUUGAGUUCCUUCCUUCUCAAUCCUCUAAGUCAUACUAAGGGAGUUGUGAGGACUACUUGUAAAAAGAAUUAUAAAAGUUCUCUCCUAAACUUGUGAAAAGGAUAAAAUAGUUGUAACAAGGGUGGUUGAUCUUUACCCAUUGAAAGAAGAUUGUUAGCGAAAGUCAAUAGUCUCAACGAAGGAGGAAUCGAGAG
RNAcentral lists this long non-coding RNA (199 nucleotides) under Musa acuminata (dwarf banana). Its description in RNAcentral is "long non-coding RNA (MACU_LNC010708)". Lineage: Eukaryota; Viridiplantae; Streptophyta; Magnoliopsida; Zingiberales; Musaceae. The record is from RNAcentral.